Molecule: ribosomal RNA, 460 nt
Filed under: uncultured bacterium
Lineage: Bacteria
Description: partial 16S ribosomal RNA
Rfam family: Bacterial small subunit ribosomal RNA
Source: RNAcentral
CCUACGGGAGACAGCAGUGAGGAAUCUUGGUCAAUGGGCGUAAGCCUGAACCAGCCAAGUCGCGUGAGGGAUGAAGGUUCUAUGGAUCGUAAACCUCUUUUAUAAGGGAAUAAAUUGUGGGACGUGUCCUUUCUUGUAUGUACCUUAUGUAUAAGGAUCGGCUAACUCCGUGCCAGCAGCCGCGGUAAGACGGAGGAUCCGAGCGUUAUCCGGAUUUAUUGGGUUUAAAGGGUGCGUAGGCGGUCUUUUAAGUCAGCUGUGAAAGUCUGUGGCUCAACCAGAGCAGUGCCGUGGAAACUGGGAGGCUGGAGUGUGGAAGAGGCAGGCGGAAUGCGAGGUGUAGCGGUGAAAUGCGUAGAUAUAAGGCAGAACCCCGAUUGCGAAGGCAGCCUGCCAGGCCGUGACUGACGCUGAUGCACGAAAGCGUGGGGAUCAAACAGGAUUAGAUACCCGGGUAGUC